RNAcentral lists this ribosomal RNA (497 nucleotides) under uncultured bacterium. RNAcentral describes it as "partial 16S ribosomal RNA". It matches the Rfam family "Bacterial small subunit ribosomal RNA", at positions 28 to 507 of the family's 1533-position model. The record is from RNAcentral.
GAUGAACGCUGGCGGCGUGCCUAAUACAUGCAAGUCGAGCGAACAGACGAGGAGCUUGCUCCUCUGACGUUAGCGGCGGACGGGUGAGUAACACGUGGAUAACCUACCUAUAAGACUGGGAUAACUUCGGGAAACCGGAGCCAAUACCGGAUAAUAUAUUGAACCGCAUGGUUCAAUAGUGAACGACGGUUUUGCUGUCACUUAUAGAUGGAUCCGCGUCGCAUUAGCUAGUUGGUAAGGUAACGGCUUACCAAGGCAACGAUGCGUAGCCGACCUGAGAGGAUGAUCAGCCACACUGGAACUGAGACACGGUCCAGACUCCUACGGGAGGCAGCAGUAGGGAAUCUUCCGCAAUGGGCGAAAGCCUGACGGAGCAACGCCGCGUGAGUGAUGAAGGUCUUCGGAUCGUAAAACUCUGUUAUUAGGGAAGAACAAAUGUGUAAGUAACUAUGCACGUCUUGACGGUACCUAAUCAGAAAGCCACGGCUAACUACGUG